UAGGUCUCAGUUCAGAUUGCAGGCUGCAACCCGCCUGCAUGAAGUCGGAAUUGCUAGUAAUCGCGGAUCAGCAUGCCGCGGUGAAUACGUUCCCGGGCCUUGUACACACCGCCCGCCACACCAUGGGAGCCGGUAAUACCCGAAGUCAGUAGUCCAACCUCGUGAGGACGCCGCCGAAGGUAGGAUUGGCGACUGGGGUGAAGUCGUAACAAGGUACC
Molecule: ribosomal RNA, 218 nt
Filed under: uncultured bacterium
Lineage: Bacteria
Description: partial 16S ribosomal RNA
Rfam family: Bacterial small subunit ribosomal RNA
Source: RNAcentral